This 690-nucleotide small RNA is filed under the name Pongo abelii (Sumatran orangutan). RNAcentral's name for it is "processed transcript". Lineage: Eukaryota; Metazoa; Chordata; Mammalia; Primates; Hominidae. The record is from RNAcentral.
GUCUUGGUGAGGUGCCGCCAUUUCAUCCGUCCUCGGUCUCUGCGCCUUUCGCAGAGCUUCCAGCAGCGAAUUUGCCGUUUUCAGUGGAAAACAAGUGGUCCUUACUAGCUAAGAUGUGUUUGUACUUUGGAUCUGCAUUUGCUACACCCUUUCUUAUAGUAAGACACCAACUGCUUAAAACAUAAGGAUGUUUCAGUUCCUCCAUUUAACAGGUAGUUAAUGGAUUUCUAAUCAUCUUAAAGCAGGCCUUUUUAUUAAGUAGCCUCUUCCCCCUCACCCAGAACACACACACAAAUACAUUGUUGUGUAGGGCUGAUUCCUGAGGUUAUGUGUAGAUGUGGCAUUGGUGGAGACUAGUUGUAAACCUAUAUAAAAAUAUUUCAAUAAUGGCCAGUGUUUAUUGAAUACUACUGAUUAUCAGAUACACUUUACAUCGAUAUCUCAUGUUCUCUAGCAAGCUUGUGAGGCGGAUGAUAGUAACCCCAUCUGAGACACAAAGAUGUUAAGUUGUUCAAGAUCUCAUAACUAGUAUAAUUGUGGACCAGGACACUUGCCCAGGCAGUUUCUUGUUGCAGAGCUCACACUUUUAACCAGAUAUGAAGAGCAUUUUAAGAGGUGCAGCCUGAAGUGGAUCAAACUAGAACUCAUAUGCCAUACUAGAUAUGUUUGUCAAUAAACUUAUGACGUGAA